This 261-nucleotide ribosomal RNA is filed under the name uncultured bacterium. Its description in RNAcentral is "partial 16S ribosomal RNA". It matches the Rfam family "Bacterial small subunit ribosomal RNA", at positions 91 to 353 of the family's 1533-position model. The record is from RNAcentral.
ACGAGUGGCGGACGGGUGAGUAAUGUCUGGGAAACUGCCUGAUGGAGGGGGAUAACUACUGGAAACGGUAGCUAAUACCGCAUAACGUCGCAAGACCAAAGAGGGGGACCUUCGGGCCUCUUGCCAUCGGAUGUGCCCAGAUGGGAUUAGCUAGUAGGUGGGGUAACGGCUCACCUAGGCGACGAUCCCUAGCUGGUCUGAGAGGAUGAACGGCCACACUGGAACUGAGACACGGUCCAGACUCCUACGGGAGGCAGCAUG